UGACCACCACCAGGUCCUGGGAGGAUCUGAUGCUGCCCCACUUCGAUGAGCUGCUCCUCCAUCCAGACUGGGAAGUUUUUAAGAGUCAACGUCAAGCUGAAGGUUUCUGAAGUUCUCUUAAUUAUUUUGAGAAACUUUUCAAAGUUCUUGUAGUUGUUUUCACCGAGGUCCAAACACUCCAGCUUUUUCUGGGGGUUUGUAGACGCUCAAGAGAAACUUGAUUUUAAAUCUGUUGAAUCUUUUAAGUCUAUUUCCAAUUUAGUGAUUCAUCUUUCUGCUUCUCCAAAAUCUAUCUUAUGUUGUUACAGAGUCUACAUCCAAGAAGACCCUGGCAGACCCCAUCACCUGCUGGACUCUGAGCCCCUGCAUACUGGGUUACAGGUGAGAACAGAUUCCACCACCUACAAAAGAAACCUGGUACAGCAGUUUUAUCUGAUGCAUCCAGAUUCCCUAACCUCCUAACCUCUGCCAAUUUUAAUCUCUCCCAAACACCAGUGCUUUUCCCACUUUGAGGGACGGAUCUUCUUCAUUCUGGAC
RNAcentral lists this long non-coding RNA (537 nucleotides) under Xyrichtys novacula (pearly razorfish). Lineage: Eukaryota; Metazoa; Chordata; Actinopteri; Labriformes; Labridae. The record is from RNAcentral.